Long non-coding RNA from Hydra vulgaris (swiftwater hydra), 740 nucleotides. RefSeq lists it as uncharacterized. The record is from RefSeq and is a predicted model, not a curated record. NCBI's taxonomy places the organism in Eukaryota, Metazoa, Cnidaria, Hydrozoa, Anthoathecata, Hydridae.
AGGUAUGGUGAGUUUACCGUUGAUAGUUUUAGAAAUGAUAAGAUAGUUAAACUUCAAGAGCUGAUGUUUAAAUUUAGAGUCAUAAACUAAAAGCCAGGACAAAUAUAUCAACACCACAUAUAUAAAAAAGAGACAUAUAAAGACUUGGUGGCUGUAAUUGUAAAGAUGCAAUUUGACGCAUUAUUACAGCAGCAACUCAUCAAGUUUGACCAUUUUUUAGAUUCAACGGCCGAAAAGGAAAACAGUCAUUUGAUAGAUGCUUACUCUGCCAAUUACAAUGAAUAGUCAGGUACAGAUGAAAGUAAAUAGCACCAACAUGCAGAAAGUGCAGCUGUUUUUGUGUCAGCUGUUGCAGAUGUUAUUGACCCACCAUCUGCAUCCGUAAAGUGAAUCCGGAAGAUAUUUCAUCAACUGGCAGCAUGCAUAUUGAAAAUUGUUAGUAGAAGUUACAAUACUUUAGUUGAUACUUUUUGCACAAUUACAAAAGCUACGAGAACAAAAAUGCUUGUAAAAAGAUCAUCAAGGAUGCGAAAAGAUAACGGAAGAAGUUAGAGAGGUGUUAAAGCAUGCUUCUAAUCAACCAGGCGGAGUUAACUAAGAGACAAAACUUACAGCAAAUAUUCAAAAUAAAGAUGUGUUGCAGCGACAUUUUGAAGAAAGUUCGGGUUAGCGUGUUAUACUAUAUGUUAUAUGACCAGAUCAAAAAGUUUUUUUUUAAUUAUUAAGUGGCUAGAUGUUUA